AUGAGCUUCUACAGCCUUCAUGUGACCCUCCAUCAGGAGGUGGCCAAAUACCAGUCGAGGUUCUUCUGGGCUGGUGAGGGCGACAAGAAGAAGUACCAUAUGGUGAGCUGGCCCGACAUCUGCAAACCCAAAGACCAGGGUGGCCUUGGGAUCCUGUCAUCCCGACGCAUGAACAUUGCCCUCCUGACCCGAUGGCUGUGGCGUAUUGCCAAUGGGGAGGGAGGCCUCUGGCUCACCAUAAUCCAUAAUAAGUACCUCCGUGGCCAACCUCUUGCCUUUUGCCAACGUACGGGUAGAUCCCAGUUCUGGCAGUCCGUGAUCCAGCUUCUGCCCAUACUACGCAUCGGCACAUCCAUCUCGGUUGGCUCCGGGGCCUCGACCUUGUUCUGGUUCGACCGCUGGCUUGGGGACUCCCCCCGGCCACGCGAUUCCCAGAACUAUUUGCCAUUGAGGCUGACCCUCGGGUCUCUGUCGAGACGACCCUUAUUGACUUAG
Molecule: ribosomal RNA, 495 nt
Filed under: Triticum aestivum (bread wheat)
Lineage: Eukaryota; Viridiplantae; Streptophyta; Magnoliopsida; Poales; Poaceae
Description: partial small subunit ribosomal RNA
Source: RNAcentral